AGUGAACGAUGGCGGCAGGCCUAACACAUGCAAGUCGAACGGCAGCACAAGAGAGCUUGCUCUCUGGGUGGCGAGUGGCGGACGGGUGAGGAAUGCAUCGGAAUCUGCCCAUUUGUGGGGGAUAACCUCGGGAAACCGGGACUAAUACCGCAUACGACCUACGGGUGAAAGCAGGGGAUCUUCGGACCUUGCGCAGAUGGAUGAGCCGAUGCCGGAUUAGCUAGUUGGAGGGGUAAAGGCCCACCAAGGCGACGAUCCGUAGCUGGUCUGAGAGGAUGAUCAGCCACACUGGGACUGAGACACGGCCCAGACUCCUACGGGAGGCAGCAGUGGGGAAUAUUGGACAAUGGGCGCAAGCCUGAUCCAGCCAUGCCGCGUGUGUGAAGAAGGCCUUCGGGUUGUAAAGCACUUUUGUUGGGAAAGAAAAGCAGCCGGUUAAUACCCGGUUGUCAUGACGGUACCCAAAGAAUAAGCACCGGCUAACUUCGUG
This 490-nucleotide ribosomal RNA is filed under the name uncultured bacterium. RNAcentral describes it as "partial 16S ribosomal RNA". It matches the Rfam family "Bacterial small subunit ribosomal RNA", at positions 29 to 507 of the family's 1533-position model. The record is from RNAcentral.